This 322-nucleotide ribosomal RNA is filed under the name uncultured bacterium. RNAcentral's name for it is "bacterial SSU rRNA". It matches the Rfam family "Bacterial small subunit ribosomal RNA", at positions 28 to 351 of the family's 1533-position model. The record is from RNAcentral.
GACGAACGCUGGCGGCGUGCUUAACACAUGCAAGUCGAGCGGUAAGGCCCUUUCGGGGGUACACGAGCGGCGAACGGGCGAGUAACACGUGGGUGACCUGCCCUCAGCUCUGGGAUAAGCCUGGGAAACCGGGUCUAAUACCGGAUAUGACUCCAUGACGCAUGUUGUGGGGUGGAAAGCCUUGUGCGGCUGAGGAUGGGCCCGCGGCCUAUCAGCUUGUUGGUGGGGUGAUGGCCUACCAAGGCGACGACGGGUAGCCGGCCUGAGAGGGCGACCGGCCACACUGGGACUGAGACACGGCCCAGACUCCUACGGGAGGCAG